This 444-nucleotide ribosomal RNA is filed under the name uncultured bacterium. Its description in RNAcentral is "partial 16S ribosomal RNA". It matches the Rfam family "Bacterial small subunit ribosomal RNA", at positions 338 to 795 of the family's 1533-position model. The record is from RNAcentral.
CCUACGGGGUGCAGCAGUGGGGAAUAUUGGGCAAUGGGCGCAAGCCUGACCCAGCAACGCCGCGUGAAGGAAGAAGGCUUUCGGGUUGUAAACUUCUUUUCUCAGGGACGAAGCAAGUGACGGUACCUGAGUAAUAAGCAUCUGCUAACUCCGUUCCAGCAGCCGCGGUAAUACGGGGGAUGCAAGCGUUAUCCGGAUUUAGUGGGUUGAAAGGGUGCGUAGGCUGUGAGGUAAGUCAGCGGUGAAAUGCCCCCGCCCAACGGGGUGAAGUUCCAUUGAUACUGCCUUGCUGGAAUGCGGAUGACGUGGGAGGAAUGUGUGGUGUAGCGGUGAAAUGCAUAGAUAUCACACAGAACACCGAUUGCGAAGGCAUCUCACGAAUCCGCGAUUGACGCUGAUGCACGAAAGCGUGGGUAUCAAACAGGAUUAGAUACCCUUGUAGUC